GACGUAGGGCGCGAUCGUUGUCCGGAUUUAUUGGGCGUAAAGAGCUCGUAGGCGGUUUGUCGCGUCGUCCGUGAAAACUCACAGCUUAACUGUGAGCUUGCGGUCGAUACGGGCAGGCUAGAGUUUGGUAGGGGAGACUGGAAUUCCUGGUGUAGCGGUGAAAUGCGCAGAUAUCAGGAGGAACACCGGUGGCGAAGGCGGGUCUCUGGGUCGAUACUGACGCUGAGGAGCGAAAGCGUGGGGAGCGAACAGG
RNAcentral lists this ribosomal RNA (253 nucleotides) under uncultured bacterium. RNAcentral's name for it is "partial 16S ribosomal RNA". It matches the Rfam family "Bacterial small subunit ribosomal RNA", at positions 524 to 776 of the family's 1533-position model. The record is from RNAcentral.